GAUUAGAAAUUUUUCACUGAAAUUUGCAUUAUGUACCGGUACACAUGAGGCUGUCACCGGUACACGAUGACGGAACAGAAAUCUGCGAAGCCAAAGUAAAUUUACGAAACCAAUGUCGAUGGCUGUACCGGUACGGGUCAAUGGCUGUACCGGUACACAGUGCAUUUUUAAGACUUUGCACUGUUUCGGGUUCUGCAGAGUUUUGAAGUACUUUCUAAUCAACUAGAUAUUGAUAAUAAUGAUUCUAAUGCCUAUACUAAGUACGAAUCACCAUAACAUGAAGUAAAGACUUUACCUGAGCAUCGUGAUUCAUAUCGUGAGUUAUCUCUGCCUUCUCCGAAGUCUUAGAUUCUUCGUUCUUCGACGAUAUGCUCCGAAACCUUCAAGACUCCUGUUAAGUAUUGUGUGUUGGCACGGUUGUGUGUGUUGAAUAUGAUAGAUGGAUAUUCGCCAAUAGAUUAAAAUUUGUCAAAAUAUUUUCAAUUGUGAGAUUGUCUAAUUUAGAGGGAGUUUGAAAUUAUUAAAAAAAAAAGGGAGAAAACUCCUAUGUUUAAAAAAAUGUGGAAAGAGUUACAUCCAAAAGGAGUGUGAAAACUACCACCACAUGUAGGAAAGAGCUACCACCCCGGUCGUCCGGCAAGUGUGUGAAGCUACCACAUGAAGAUUAAAUUAAUUAACCGAAAAAAGGUUGAAAAAAAUUGAAUAAUUUAGAAUUUUCGGAGUAAUAAGGUGCUAGUUUGAAAAAGAUGCUCAAAGAGCCA
Molecule: long non-coding RNA, 761 nt
Filed under: Ananas comosus (pineapple)
Lineage: Eukaryota; Viridiplantae; Streptophyta; Magnoliopsida; Poales; Bromeliaceae
Description: long non-coding RNA (ACOM_LNC038803)
Source: RNAcentral